UUCACAUAAUUCAGUUAUACUGAGCUAAUAGCCGGAGAAAGUAAUAGAGUAGACAUGUCUGUCUUUCUUAAACUCUCUAAGCCUUUGGCUCAAAAGAAGGACGGUAAAACAAUUCAAGAAUCUCAUGAGUACCUCCAGGUUGACUGUGUAGAGAUGUUGAACUGUUUGUCUGAAUAUUUGGAUGUUGACUUAUAAAGAGAACAAUUUUCAGAGACGUAUAUACAGGAUGAUAAUAAAAAUCAGGAAAACAGGAAAACUUGGACAUGCGGCAUAAAACCCAUCAAAGUAACCCCUCGGUAAAUCCAAGAAGCAGGAAAAGUUAUACCCACUUUGGUUGUAACAGGUUUUACAUUAUUGAUCGUAGUAGUAACCAAUUGUCUUUACCUUCACAAACUACAAAUACAAGCAACCUGAAGAUUCAGAAAAAUGUUGAAUCUGCAGGUUGUUCCUCUGGCAUUGUCAAUCAUGACAACUAACAGCUGCCUUUGGCUCCAAAAACAGCAGAAAUAGGCAACCAAAACAGCAUCCAGGCUAAUGCUUAACCUUCAGGGGGAAAAGUAAGCAAAGGAAGAAAGCAAGUCCCAAUGACACUUGAUUGCCAGGGAGAGGUGCAGUUGGCUAAUCCUCACAUUCCUGAACCACAAAGCACAACACUCACACGUGGCAAUACAGAAAGAAAGGAGGCUGCUGAAGUACAAAAGGAGUGUGCAGAGGAGAGGCAAGGGCAUCAGAGAACUUCGGAACAGAAUGAAAAGGAUUGAAGGAGAGUGCAGGCUUAUCGAUCGCCUUGCUUGAUUUACCAUUUCUAAUCUAAGUAAUAGGAGCAACAAUAGUCAUUUCCAGUUUUCCAGAACUGAACUGGAUUUGUAUUGCUGAAUACUUUGUCAUUUUACAUUCAGUACUCAAUAUAGUAUUACAAUUUCCAGAAUCA
Long non-coding RNA from Mangifera indica (mango), 931 nucleotides. RefSeq lists it as uncharacterized. The transcript has 5 exons. Lineage: Eukaryota; Viridiplantae; Streptophyta; Magnoliopsida; Sapindales; Anacardiaceae. The record is from RefSeq and is a predicted model, not a curated record.